GCAGUGGUGGUUCAACGGUGGAAUUUUCACCUUCCACGUGGAGGGCCCAGGUUCCAUCCUCGGCCAAUGCA
RNAcentral lists this transfer RNA (71 nucleotides) under Loxodonta africana (African savanna elephant). It matches the Rfam family "tRNA". From Rfam's summary of the family: Transfer RNA (tRNA) molecules are approximately 80 nucleotides in length. Their secondary structure includes four short double-helical elements and three loops (D, anti-codon, and T loops). Lineage: Eukaryota; Metazoa; Chordata; Mammalia; Proboscidea; Elephantidae. The record is from Rfam by way of RNAcentral.